GGCUUCGUGGUGGAUGGUCCGCACCCGCACAUCAUGAUUCUGGGUUGUAUCGAACAACUAAUUGCGGGAGCUAGCGCCUGUUCGACUCAAGCCGGAGCCG
Molecule: non-coding RNA, 100 nt
Organism: Mycena vulgaris
Lineage: Eukaryota; Fungi; Basidiomycota; Agaricomycetes; Agaricales; Mycenaceae
Source: the annotation of a GenBank genome assembly